This 404-nucleotide ribosomal RNA is filed under the name uncultured bacterium. Its description in RNAcentral is "bacterial SSU rRNA". It matches the Rfam family "Bacterial small subunit ribosomal RNA", at positions 355 to 775 of the family's 1533-position model. The record is from RNAcentral.
CAAGGAAUUUUCCGCAAUGGGCGAAAGCCUGACGGAGCAACGCCGCGUGUGGGAUGACGCUUUUCGGAGUGUAAACCACUUUUCUUGGGGACGACGAGCGACGGUACCCGAGGAAUAAGGACCGGCUAACUACGUGCCAGCAGCCGCGGUAAUACGUAGGGUCCGAGCGUUGUCCGGAGUUACUGGGCGUAAAGCGCGCGCAGGCGGCUUGGCAAGCAUGGCGUGAAAGCCCCCGGCUUAACCGGGGAGAGUCGUCGUGGACUGCCAGGCUUGAGGGCGGUAGGGGUUGGUGGAAUUCCCGGUGUAGUGGUGAAAUGCGUAGAGAUCGGGAGGAACACCCGUGGCGAAGGCGGCCAACUGGGCCGACCCUGACGCUGAGGCGCGAAGGCGUGGGGAGCGAACGG